Molecule: long non-coding RNA, 276 nt
Filed under: Homo sapiens (human)
Lineage: Eukaryota; Metazoa; Chordata; Mammalia; Primates; Hominidae
Description: non-protein coding lnc-LYSMD2-1:2
Source: RNAcentral
AUCAGCUUGUUUAUUGAUGAAGUCUCUCAUCUUUGAAAGCUGCAGCCACUGCAUGACCCUAGGACCCAGAUCCCCCACAGGCUUUGAGAAGAUGACCCCAAGUCAAGCCGAGCGCAUAUGAGAGCAGUGGAGAAAGAGCUCUGUUUCUGUCUUCAAGAGGGCAUACUGCAUAUUUCCCAGAGACAAAAGGGAGCAUCGAACCCAAUGCCAGUUUGCUAACAGAGCCUUCCAUAUGCAAGCACCAGAGUUCUAUGCUUCACCAGGUUGGUCAUUUCU